CCUACGGGAGGCAGCAGUUUGGAAUAUUGGACAAUGGGGGAACCUCUGAACCAGCCAUGCCGCGUGCAGGACGACGGCCCUCUGGGUUGUAAACUGCUUUUAUGUGGGAAUAAUUUGUUCCUAUACRGAGNUAUUGACGGUACCWCAAGAAUAAGCACCGGCUAACUCCGUGCCAGCAGCCGCGGUAAUACGGAGGGUGCAAGCGUUGUCCGGAAUUAUUGGGUUUAAAGGGUGCGUAGGCGGUUUUUUAAGUCAGUGGUGAAAGCCCCGAGCUUAACUGGAGAACUGCCUUUGAUACUGGGGAACUUGAGUACKUGUGAGGURGAUAGAAUGCGUGGUGUAGCGGUGAAAUGCAUAGAUAUUCACGAGAAUACCGAUUGCGAAGGCAGUCUACUAACURUAUACUGACGCUAAUGGACGAAAGCGUGGGG
RNAcentral lists this ribosomal RNA (431 nucleotides) under uncultured bacterium. RNAcentral describes it as "bacterial SSU rRNA". It matches the Rfam family "Bacterial small subunit ribosomal RNA", at positions 338 to 766 of the family's 1533-position model. The record is from RNAcentral.